Molecule: long non-coding RNA, 701 nt
Organism: Gallus gallus (chicken)
Lineage: Eukaryota; Metazoa; Chordata; Aves; Galliformes; Phasianidae
Exons: 3
Source: RefSeq, a predicted model, not a curated record
GGCUUAAUGAGAACUAUUGGUGAUGUGUGGAUGGUUGGACUGGGUGAUCCUGUGGGUCUUUUCCAACCUUGGUGAUUCUGUGAUUCUAUGAUUCUAGGACUGGAUCCGAUUGUGGACAUCCUGCUCUUCCUGACUGGGCUUGAGCAGUGCAAUUGUGCUAUUUGACUUUCUUUGUACAAGUGUGGAUAAUAUGUGAUGAGAUGAAGGCCGUCUGCUAGCCACCAGAGCUCUUGUUGGUGCCAAGGUACUGAGAGGAGGUCCUGGGGCCCUUUGGACCCAAGAUGCUUAUUUCUAGAGCCAUGUCUUUGUAGCGGGUGAAGGGGAAAGAGCAUUGGGCCAAGAAAGUAAGAGGAGGACUCUGAGGCUGGCAUGCAUGAGAUUUUUAUUGAGGAAAAUUCAAGAAAAGGAAGGAUCCGCUUGGAGAUGGCGAGGUAUAAAGGGCACAACUUAAGGUGCAAAGAAAGGAGAAAUCUGCAGUGCUGAUGUUUCCAGACAGCGUGGUGUGACGCUGUUCCCUGCUUGCUUGAGAAGAGGAGCCAUGGCUGGUGAGCCCAUGUGCCAUCAGUGACAGAGAGAUGAGAGCUCAGUGCAUGAGGCGCCUUGCAGGGUGCAGGAGGUUGCUGUGAGGGUGUGGGCGCAGGCCCUUAGCAGGGGUAGCGGGCUCUCCAGCCGUUGAAGCAGCCCAGGCCUCCGAAGCCGAA